GAUCAUGGCUCAGGAUGAACGCUAGCGGCGGGCCUAACACAUGCAAGUCGAGGGAGGAGCUUUCGGGCUUCGACCGGCGUACGGGUGCGUAACGCGUAUACAAUCUGCCUUUCACAUAGGGAUAGCCCGAAGAAAUUUGGAUUAAUACCUAAUGGUAUAUAGGGAUGGCAUCAUUUUUAUAUUAAAGCUGAGGCGGUGAAAGAUGAGUAUGCGUUCUAUUAGCUAGUUGGAGAGGUAACGG
Molecule: ribosomal RNA, 241 nt
Filed under: uncultured bacterium
Lineage: Bacteria
Description: partial 16S ribosomal RNA
Rfam family: Bacterial small subunit ribosomal RNA
Source: RNAcentral